This 426-nucleotide long non-coding RNA is filed under the name Physcomitrium patens. Its description in RNAcentral is "long non-coding RNA (PPAT_LNC001042)". Lineage: Eukaryota; Viridiplantae; Streptophyta; Bryopsida; Funariales; Funariaceae. The record is from RNAcentral.
UCCUAAAUAAAUCCUAAAUAAUCUCAAGUAAUUCCUAUAGUAGUUUAAACCUCAAUAAUUAAUGAAUGAACUAUUGAUUUUAACUCAAAAUUUGUACACCUCUUAACAAUUAAGUUGAAAGCAAGCACAAAUUUUUUGAAGAAGAUCAAAUUCACCAAAAAGAAGAUCGACCUUAAUAUUUGCUUAGAUGUUGCCCAACCUCCUUCCCCAAUCUGAAUGUUGAAUUUUGAGCACUAAUAUCUCCUUGUCAAAUCAUUCAAUUGACAUUAAAUUUCUCAAAUAAUAAGGAAAAUAAGUCUAUUAUCCACACAUAUAAUUUUCAUUUCAAUCCAACUGAUAGAUUGCAAGAAAUCUUAGAAAUCUUCACUAGAUCUAAAACUCUACUUUCCGAGACUCCAAUCCACUUAAACCUCAAUAAUCCUCAAU